RNAcentral lists this ribosomal RNA (493 nucleotides) under uncultured bacterium. RNAcentral's name for it is "partial 16S ribosomal RNA". It matches the Rfam family "Bacterial small subunit ribosomal RNA", at positions 29 to 508 of the family's 1533-position model. The record is from RNAcentral.
AGUGAACGCUGGCGGUAGGCCUAACACAUGCAAGUCGAACGGCAGCACAGUAAGAGCUUGCUCUUACGGGUGGCGAGUGGCGGACGGGUGAGGAAUACAUCGGAAUCUACUUUUUCGUGGGGGAUAACGUAGGGAAACUUACGCUAAUACCGCAUACGACCUACGGGUGAAAGCAGGGGAUCUUCGGACCUUGCGCGAUUGAAUGAGCCGAUGUCGGAUUAGCUAGUUGGCGGGGUAAAGGCCCACCAAGGCGACGAUCCGUAGCUGGUCUGAGAGGAUGAUCAGCCACACUGGAACUGAGACACGGUCCAGACGCCUACGGGAGGCAGCAGGUGGGAAUAUUGGACAAUGGGGGCAAGCCUGAUCCAGACAUACCGCGUGGGGGAAGAAGGCCUUCGCGUUGUAAAGACCGUUUGUUGGGAAAGAAAAGCAGCAGGUUAAUACCCCGCUGUUCUGACGGUACCCAAAGAAUAAGCACCGGCUAACUUCGUGC